RNAcentral lists this unclassified non-coding RNA (356 nucleotides) under fungal sp. Its description in RNAcentral is "partial internal transcribed spacer region". The stretch from base 1 to 46 matches the Rfam family "Eukaryotic small subunit ribosomal RNA", at positions 1786 to 1831 of the family's 1831-position model. Lineage: Eukaryota; Fungi. The record is from RNAcentral.
AAGUCGUAACAAGGUUUCCGUAGGUGAACCUGCGGAAGGAUCAUUAUUGAAUAUUCUUGAUAGGUUGUAGCUGGCUCUUCGGGGCAUGUGCACACUUGUCUUGACUUUAUUCAUCCACCUGUGCACUUUUUGUAGUCUUGGGGGUUGAGAUCAGUCGACUAUCGGAUGGCUUAUAGCCUUUCCGGACGUGAGGAAUGCUGAGUGCAAAAGCAUACAGCUCUUCUCAAAUGACUUAUAAACCUCUCCCUCGAGUACUAUGUAUUCAUAUACCACAUAGUAUGUUGUAGAAUGUGAUCAAUGGGCCUAGUGCCUAUAAUAAUCAUAUACAACUUUCAGCAACGGAUCUCUUGGCUCUC